GCCCCUGUAGUUCAACGGAUAGAACGCUAGCCUUCUAAGCUGGACAUGGAAGUUCGACUCUUCCCAGGGGCA
RNAcentral lists this transfer RNA (72 nucleotides) under Candidatus Nealsoniibacteriota bacterium. RNAcentral describes it as "Candidatus Nealsonbacteria bacterium tRNA-Arg". It matches the Rfam family "tRNA". From Rfam's summary of the family: Transfer RNA (tRNA) molecules are approximately 80 nucleotides in length. Their secondary structure includes four short double-helical elements and three loops (D, anti-codon, and T loops). Lineage: Bacteria; Candidatus Nealsoniibacteriota. The record is from RNAcentral.